RNA transcript from Tarenaya hassleriana, 1132 nucleotides. It is a transcript of the gene named chromatin remodeling protein SHL, with no coding region annotated. NCBI's taxonomy places the organism in Eukaryota, Viridiplantae, Streptophyta, Magnoliopsida, Brassicales, Cleomaceae. The record is from RefSeq and is a predicted model, not a curated record. The transcript is spliced from 6 exons.
AUGCCCAGGCAAAAGGCUCUAAGGAAGCAAGUCGAGUCCUAUAAGCUCAAACACAUCAACAAAACCAUCGAAGAGGGAGAUUGCGUGCUGAUGCGGCCGUCGGAGCCGGGGAAGCCGUCGUACGUAGCGAGGAUCGAGGCGAUCGAGACGGACGCGCGUGGGGCGAACGCUAAGGUGCGCGUGAGAUGGUAUUACCGUCCCGAGGAAUCUAUCGGAGGGAGGAGGCAAUUCCAUGGAUCCAAGGAGGUGUUUCUCUCCGACCACUACGACGUCCAGAGCGCCGACACGAUCGAGGGGAAGUGUACGGUCCACAGUUUCAAGAGUUACACGAAGCUUGACGCUGUCGGGAACGAGGACUUCUUCUGUCGUUUCGAGUACAACUCCUCCACCGGCGCCUUUAACCCCGACCGAGUUGCUGUGUUCUGCAAGUGUGAAAUGCCGUACAACCCUGAUGACUUGAUGGUGCAAUGCGAGAGUUGCUCUGAGUGGUUUCAUCCUUCUUGUAUAGAAAUGACGGUGGAGAAAGCUAAAAAGCUGGAUCACUUCUUCUGUGAAGAUUGUUCCUCGCAGCAGCAGAAGUUGCAGAACUCGCAUUCCGCUACUAAAAGCUCAGACACUAAGUGAUGUCCUGCCGCAUAUUCGUGCACUCCAUGACUCUCCUUUUGAGUUGUACUUGGUGGUAUAUUCACAUUCCUAAGAAAGACCAACUUUGUUAACCGCUGUUCUAUUUAGAAGAAGAAAGAGAGCAGGUGGAUACAAAAAGGCGCCGGAGGUAGCCAGCCCAACCCAAACCAAGUGACGAGAGGAGGACACUGGAGAGAAUCGGGGCAAAGGAGACAAGCAGUCGAAGCUUUUAUUAGGUAUGGGCGUGUUUUAUAUAUGUAUUAACAGACUGUGUUCUUAGGGGUGUGGAGGGAGGGAUCUCAGGGUAAAGAUUGAGUUUGGUGGUGGUCAUAUGUCGUGUCCCUCUGGUCGUUUUGUAAUAUCCCAUCCUCUUUUUUUUUAGGACAAAUGGGGUUUAAGAGAGAGCUCGGUUGUUUCUUGAGUGCAGGUGCUGUUAAUGAUUUUAUCCAUAGCGUGGAUUUAGGUAAUGUAUGUGGAUCCAAUAAUAGAAGCAGUUCCAAUUAUCCAA